RNAcentral lists this ribosomal RNA (257 nucleotides) under uncultured bacterium. Its description in RNAcentral is "partial 16S ribosomal RNA". It matches the Rfam family "Bacterial small subunit ribosomal RNA", at positions 98 to 354 of the family's 1533-position model. The record is from RNAcentral.
CGGGACUGGUGAGUAACGCGUGAGGAACCUGCCUUUCGGAGGGGGACAACAGUUGGAAACGACUGCUAAUACCGCAUGACGUAUCGGGAUCGCAUGGUCUUGAUACCAAAGAUUUUAUCGCCGAAAGAUGGCCUCGCGUCUGAUUAGCUAGUUGGUGGGGCAACGGCCUACCAAGGCGACGAUCAGUAGCCGGACUGAGAGGUUGGCCGGCCACAUUGGGACUGAGAUACGGCCCAGACUCCUACGGAAGGCAGCAG